CCCUUAGAUGUUCUGGGCCGCACGCGCGCUACACUGAUGAAUUCAACGAGCUCCUAACCUAGGCCGAAGGGUCCGGGUAAUCUUUGAAAUUUCAUCGUGAUGGGGAUAGAUUAUUGCAAUUAUUAAUCUUCAACGAGGAAUUCCUAGUAAGCGCGAGUCAUCAGCUCGCGUUGAUUACGUCCCUGCCCUUUGUACACACCGCCCGUCGCUCCUACCGAUUGAAUGGUCCGGUGAAAUGUCCGGACCGCGACAAGGCGGACGGUUCGCUGUCAGCUUUGCUGCGGGAAGUUCAUUAAACCUUAUCAUUUAGAGGAAGGAGAAGUCGUAACA
This 330-nucleotide ribosomal RNA is filed under the name uncultured eukaryote. RNAcentral describes it as "partial 18S ribosomal RNA". It matches the Rfam family "Eukaryotic small subunit ribosomal RNA", at positions 1470 to 1796 of the family's 1831-position model. The record is from RNAcentral.